GGUAUUUAUAUAUUGUUAACUAUUGUCUUCUUAUUUGUUGAUGCACAGUACAACCUAACGUCUAUAUUUUUCAGAAAUUUGAUAUGAUGAUUUUUAUUUGGUAAUUUCAGAUACUAAUUUUAUGACUUCUUUUUGGUUGAUCCAGAUUAGCUAGAGUUGCGAAAAUUGAAGUGGGAAGCAAGACAUGCGGUGUUUGUUAUUUUUUUGCUACAUUUUGAACAAGUAUUUUUUGUUAGAACUUAUGUUUGAAAUUUAAUUUGAAUUCUGAUAUUGUAAUUUGAGAGUUGAGACUAUUUGUUAUACAAAUUAUUAAUGCUUUUUGGUUACUAAUAUUUUUUAAUAUUUCAAUUCAUUGUAAUAUUUAGUUGUUAAUCAAGUAUUUUAAUAUUAAUUUAAUUGCCGCUAUAAGCUUUAUUAAUCAAUCAUUUAAUAUAUUUUUUGCGGAAAUUAUAAUUAAUUGUAGCGGCAUUUAUAAUAGUUGUUAUUGUAUAUUAUUUAGCGUUCAUUGUAGUAUUUAGUUGUUAAUUAAAUAUUUUAAUAUUAAUUUAAUUGCCGCUAUAAGCUUUAUUAAUCAAUCAUUUAAUAUGUUUUUUGCGGAAAUUAUAAUUAAUUGUAGCGGUAUUUAUAAUAGUUGUUAUUGUAUAUUAUUUAGUGGCAUUUAUAAUAGUUGUUAUUGCAUACUAUUUAGCGGCAUUUAUAAUAGUCGUUAUUGUAUAAUAUUUAGCGGCAUUUAUUUGGAUUUUUACCAACCGCCGGAAUAAAUGCCGCUAAAACUUUUAGCGACCCUGUCAAUAGCGGCAAUUGUUAAAAUUGCCACAAAAUAUUUUAGUGGCAAUUGUAAUU
This 843-nucleotide long non-coding RNA is filed under the name Ananas comosus (pineapple). RNAcentral's name for it is "long non-coding RNA (ACOM_LNC034262)". The record is from RNAcentral. Lineage: Eukaryota; Viridiplantae; Streptophyta; Magnoliopsida; Poales; Bromeliaceae.